RNAcentral lists this ribosomal RNA (271 nucleotides) under Staphylococcus aureus. RNAcentral's name for it is "partial 16S ribosomal RNA". It matches the Rfam family "Bacterial small subunit ribosomal RNA", at positions 1 to 261 of the family's 1533-position model. Lineage: Bacteria; Bacillati; Bacillota; Bacilli; Caryophanales; Staphylococcaceae. The record is from RNAcentral.
UUUAUGGAGAGUUUGAUCCUGGCUCAGGAUGAACGCUGGCGGCGUGCCUAAUACAUGCAAGUCGAGCGAACGGACGAGAAGCUUGCUUCUCUGAUGUUAGCGGCGGACGGGUGAGUAACACGUGGAUAACCUACCUAUAAGACUGGGAUAACUUCGGGAAACCGGAGCUAAUACCAGAUAAUAUUUUGAACCGCAUGGUUCAAAAGUGAAAGACGGUCUUGCUGUCACUUAUAGAUGGAUCCGCGCUGCAUUAGCUAGUUGGUAAGGUAAC